Molecule: ribosomal RNA, 350 nt
Filed under: uncultured bacterium
Lineage: Bacteria
Description: bacterial SSU rRNA
Rfam family: Bacterial small subunit ribosomal RNA
Source: RNAcentral
AAUGAACGCUGGUGGCAGACCUAACACAUGCAAGUCGAACGGUUCUAAUAUUUAAACUUACGGUUUUUUAUAGAUAAGGUGGCAAAACGGGUGAGUAAAGCGAUGGGAAUCUACCUUAGGAAGUUUGGAAUAGCUAUUAGAAAUGAUAGAUAACUACCGAAAUACACCUUCGAGAGGGAAAGUUUGACUUCGGUCUUCCGCUUUUAGAAUUGAGCCCAGUGUUAAAUUAGUUAGUUGGUAGGGUAAUGGCCUACCUAAGAUGAUGAUUUAUAGCUGGUCUUAGAGGAUGAUCAGCCACACUGGAAUUGAGAUACGGUCCAGACUCCUACGGGGAGGCAGGCAGUGGGGAA